Molecule: non-coding RNA, 784 nt
Filed under: Leconectes striatellus
Lineage: Eukaryota; Metazoa; Arthropoda; Insecta; Coleoptera; Dytiscidae
Source: RNAcentral
UAAAAGUUUAAUUUUAGCUUAUAAAUUUAUUGAAUUUUUUAUUUACAUGUAAAUUAAAGUGGGUUUAUAAAAUUUUUUUAAAUAAGUAAUUUUAUUAUUUUAUUCGCAGUAUAAAGUUUUAAUAAUUUAAGAAAUUAUGAAUUAUGAAAAAAUUAAUAAUAUUGACAAAAUUUGUGCCAGCAGUUGCGGUUAUACAAAAAAUGUAAAUAAAUUUUAUUGAUUGAUAAUUAGAAGAAUUUAUUUUAAUUAAAAUUAAAUUUAUAAAGUGAAAUUUAAAAUUUAAAAUAUUUAUUAAUAUAUUGUUUGAUUUUAUAAAAUUUAAAUUAUAAACUAGGAUUAGAUACCCUAUUAUUUUGAAUGUAAAUUAAUAAUCAUUAAAUUAGUAUUAGUUAUGAUCUUGAAAUUUAAAGAUUUUGGCGGUAUUUUAGUCUAUUCAGAGGAACCUGUUCUAUAAUUGAUAGUCCACGAUAAUCUUUACUUAAUUUAUUAAUUUGUAUAUCGUCGUUAUUAAGUAUUUUAAAAGAAUUUUAAUAUUUAAUUUUUUAUAUUAAAAAAUAAAUCAGAUCAAGGUGCAGUUUAUAGUUAAGAAGAAAUGGGUUACAAUAAAUUUAUUUAAACGAAUUAAAAUAUAAAAAUUUUUUAAGAAGGAGGAUUUGAUAGUAAUAAAAUUUUGAUUAAUUUUAUGAUUUUAGCUCUAAAAUGUGUACAUAUCGCCCGUCGCUCUUAUUAUAAAAUAAGAUAAGUCGUAACAUAGUAGAUGUACUGGAAAGUGUAUCUAGAAUGA